GACGAACGCUGGCGGCGUGCCUAAUACAUGCAAGUAGAACGCUGAAGGAGGAGCUUGCUCUUCUGGAUGAGUUGCGAACGGGUGAGUAACGCGUAGGUAACCUGCCUGGUAGCGGGGGAUAACUAUUGGAAACGAUAGCUAAUACCGCAUAACAGUAGAUGUUGCAUGACAUUUGCUUAAAAGGUGCAAUUGCACCACUACCAGAUGGACCUGCGUUGUAUUAGCUAGUUGGUGGGGUAACGGCUCACCAAGGCGACGAUACAUAGCCGACCUGAGAGGGUGAUCGGCCAAACUGGGACUGAGACACGGCCCAGACUCCUACGGGAGGCAGCAGUAGGGAAUCUUCGGCAAUGGACGGAAGUCUGACCGAGCAACGCCGCGUGAGUGAAGAAGGUUUUCGGAUCGUAAAGCUCUGUUGUAAGAGAAGAACGAGUGUGAGAGUGGAAAGUUCACACUGUGACGGUAUCUUAACAGAAAGGGACGGCUAACUACGUG
This 495-nucleotide ribosomal RNA is filed under the name uncultured bacterium. RNAcentral's name for it is "partial 16S ribosomal RNA". It matches the Rfam family "Bacterial small subunit ribosomal RNA", at positions 28 to 507 of the family's 1533-position model. The record is from RNAcentral.